GAUGAAGAACGCAGCGAAAUGCGAUAAGUAAUGUGAAUUGCAGAAUUCAGUGAAUCAUCGAAUCUUUGAACGCACAUUGCGCCCGUUAGCAUUCUAGCGGGCAUGCCUGUCCGAGCGUCAUUUCAACCCUCAGGGUCCCCGUUCCGGCGGGGAACCUGGUGUUGGGGGUCGGCCCGCCCCGUGCGGCGCCGUCCCCCAAAUUCAGUGGCGGUCUCGCUGCAGCCUCCCCUGCGUAGUAGUUACAACCUCGCAUCGGAGCUCAGCGCGGCCACGCCGUAAAACCCCCGACUUUCUGAACGUUGACCUCGGAUCAGGUAGGAAUACCCGCUGAACUUAAGCAUAUCAAUAAGCGGAGGA
Molecule: unclassified non-coding RNA, 357 nt
Filed under: soil metagenome
Description: partial contains 5.8S ribosomal RNA, internal transcribed spacer 2, and large subunit ribosomal RNA
Rfam family: 5.8S ribosomal RNA (bases 1-120)
Source: RNAcentral